CCUACGGGCGACUGCAGUGGGGAAUAUUGGGCAAUGGGCGCAAGCCUGACCCAGCAACGCCGCGUGAAGGAAGAAGGCUUUCGGGUUGUAAACUUCUUUUGUCAAGGGACAAAAUCAGGCUCGAGAGCCUGACCGAGGGUACUUGAAGAAACAGCAUCGGCUAACUCCGUGCCAGCCGCCGCGGUAAUACGGAGGAUGCGAGCGUUAUCCGGAUUUAUUGGGUUUAAAGGUUGCGUAGGCGGACUGUUAAGUCAGCGGUAAAAGCCCGGGGCUCAACCCCGGCGAGCCGUUGAAACUGGCUGUCUUGAGAUGUCGAGAGGUAUGCGGAAUGCGCGGUGUAGCGGUGAAAUGCUUAGAUAUUGCGCAGAACUCCGAUUGCGAAGGCAGCAUACCGGCGGCGAUCUGACGCUGAGGCACGAAAGCGUGGGUAUCGAACAGGAGUAGAUACCCGGGUAGUC
Molecule: ribosomal RNA, 458 nt
Filed under: uncultured bacterium
Lineage: Bacteria
Description: partial 16S ribosomal RNA
Rfam family: Bacterial small subunit ribosomal RNA
Source: RNAcentral